UACGAGCGGUGCAAGCGUUAUUCGGAAUUAUUGGGCGUAAAGGGCGCGUAGGCGGGUCAUUAAGUUUGUUGUUAAAUCCUCUGGCUUAACCAGAGACAAGCAAUAAAAACUGGUAACCUAGAGCGUGAGAGAGAGAAGUGGAAUUCCCGGAGUAGCGGUAAAAUGCGUAGAUCUCGGGAGGAACACCAAUGGCGAAGGCUGCUUCUUGGCUCAUUGCUGACGCUGAGGCGCGAAAGCGUGGGGAGCAAACAGG
This 253-nucleotide ribosomal RNA is filed under the name uncultured bacterium. RNAcentral's name for it is "partial 16S ribosomal RNA". It matches the Rfam family "Bacterial small subunit ribosomal RNA", at positions 524 to 776 of the family's 1533-position model. The record is from RNAcentral.